UUCACCGCGUUGACCAGGAUGGUCUCGAUCUCUUGACCUUGUGAUCCACCCACCUCGGCCUCCCAAAGUGCUGGGAUUACAGGCGUGAGCCACUGCGCCCGGCCUAAAAUUUUCUUAACAGUAAAUUGAAGCAAGUAAUUGGAAUGCAGUGUUUGAAUCAUCCUAAUUCCUCAGUAAGUGGACAUUUAAAAACAGUAGUACUGGUCGGGCGUAGUGGCUCACACCUAUAAUCCCAGCAUUUUGGGAGGCCAAGGUGGGAGAAUCGCAAGAUCAUGAGUUCCAGACCUGCCUGGCCAACACAGUGAAACCCUAAUGCUAGAAUGCUUGAAUGCUUACAUCCAUUGAAAAGAAGGAAAUUCAAGAGGUAAAAAGAGAACCAAGAGAGUGAAGCAUCUGGAACUCAAGAAGGGAAAAAGGGACAGAUUUAGAAAAUAUUGUAAU
Sapajus apella (tufted capuchin) is the source of this 441-nucleotide long non-coding RNA. RefSeq lists it as uncharacterized. The record is from RefSeq and is a predicted model, not a curated record. Lineage: Eukaryota; Metazoa; Chordata; Mammalia; Primates; Cebidae. The transcript is spliced from 2 exons.